CAAAACGGACACCGUAUGCAAAAGUUACACUCAGUUCUUCGAUAGCCGACAAUCCAAGCAUUACAAAUAGGCAAGUGCUUGUUCAUCCACAAACGACUGAAAUCCCUCAUACGAUGUGAACAAAAGGAUGGGUUAAAUCUAAAAAGAUAUCUACAUUUUCGAAAAGUACUUAUGGGCCCAAAACGGACACCGUAUGCAAAAGCCACACUAAAUUCUUAAAUCGCCGACAAUCCAACCGUUCCAAAUAAGCAAGUGCUUGUUCUUCCACAAUGGAUCGAAAUCCCUCAUACAUCACGCGAAAAAGGGUGGGUUCAAUCCAAAAGGUUCGCUACAUUUCCAAAAAGUACUUAUGGGCCCAAGACGGACACCGUAUGCAAAAGUCACACUCAGUUCUUCGAUCGCCGACAAUCCAAGCAUUCCAAAUAAGCAAAUUUCUUGUUCUUCAACAAAUGGCCGAGAUCACUCAUACGACAUGAUGAAAGGCGUGGGUUCGAUCCAAGAGGGUGGCUACAUUUUCC
This 518-nucleotide long non-coding RNA is filed under the name Olea europaea (common olive). RNAcentral describes it as "long non-coding RNA (OEUR_LNC012684)". The record is from RNAcentral. Lineage: Eukaryota; Viridiplantae; Streptophyta; Magnoliopsida; Lamiales; Oleaceae.